Molecule: non-coding RNA, 4412 nt
Organism: Nicotiana tabacum (common tobacco)
Lineage: Eukaryota; Viridiplantae; Streptophyta; Magnoliopsida; Solanales; Solanaceae
Source: RefSeq, a predicted model, not a curated record
UCAUUCAAAACUCUUAAAGCCCUUCUCUCUCUUUCUAAACAGACGCGUCUGUACACCUUCUCUCUCUAUACACCUUCUAUCUCUUUCUCACUAAACAGACGGCCCUAAUCGAUUCCCCAAAUCAGUAUUCAUUAUUGAGUUUACAAUAAUGUAAGGAGAUCAAAUUUCAACUCGUUUAAGGUAGCCGAGGAAUCUAAAACAGCUGGUAAAGCUAUUGGGAUCGAGGUUGACUAAAUUAUAUUUGAUAGCAAACCACGAAAUACACUUGAAUACGCGAUGGGCGUAGAAAAUUUUUGGAUUUUGCUUUUGAGUAUGGGUCUAUUGAUGGGCGUGUAAUUAAGUGUCCGUGUCCGAAAUGUGGUUUUAACAAGUGACAAAGAAGAAAUGUAGUUGAAGAACACCUGACUUGUAAGCCUUUUCCAAAAAAUUAUAAAGUUUGGUAUUUGCAUGGUGAAGAAUCAAAUGCAACUAUGCCACAAACGUUUCAGAGCAUACACGUCAUAGAAGAAACUCUGCAGCCCCAAAAUCCAAUAGCAACCAUGAUUAACGAUGCAUUUGGGUUCAUAGGGAACAAUGUCAAUGAGCCUGGUGUGUCUUGUGAGCCUAUGAAUAGUGAAGAAACAUUUAAUGAAGGGCAUAAUGAAGAAUAUGCAUAGUUCUAUGAGCUGGUAGAAGAUGGCAAUCAACCAUUAUAUGAAGGGUGCGCGAAGUAUUCCAAAUAGUCCUUUCUAGUCAAAUUGUAUCAUAUCAAGUGUUUGUGUCGAAUGACUGACAAAACGAUGAGUAUGAUAUUAGAAUUGUUAAAAGAUGCCUUUGAAGAUGCCAAGAUUCUUGUUUCUUUUUAUGAGGCCAAAAAAACCAUCAAUAAACUUGGUCUUAAUUAUACAAAGAUCCAUGUAUAUUUUGGGGAAGACGAAGGCUUACAAGAAUGCAAAAAGUACAAGACAUCUAGGUGGAAGGACAAUAAAAAGAAGCAGCCCACAAAGAUUUUGUGCUACUUUCCACUAAAGCCAAGGCUACAGAGAUUGUUCAUGUGCUCUAAAACUGCUGAGUCUAUGAGAUGGCAUUCUUCUGCGGUAACCAAGAUGGAUUGAUGAGGCAUCCAAGGGAUUCUCAAGCUUGGAAAGCAUUUGACUUGCUUUAUCCUGAAUUUGCUGUAGAUCUUCGGAAUGUACGACUAGGCCUAGCUAGUGACGGUUUCAAUCCUUUUGGAGCAAUGGCAACAAACUAUAGUAUUUGGCCUGUGGUUCUUAUUCCAUACAAUCGUCCUCCUUGGGAGUGCAUGAAACAAACUUCAUUCAUUCUUUCAAUGAUCAUUCCAGGAAAACAAAUGCCCGACAAUGACAUUGACGUGUACUUACAACCUCUUAUCCAAGAGUUGAGAGAAUUGUGGUACAAUGGAGUGCAGACAUUAGACUCUUCAAAGAAUGAAAUUUUUAAAAUGCGAGCAACCUUGAUGUGGACAAUUAGUGAUUUUCCUAGUUUGGAACCUUAUCUGGAUGGAACACACACACUCAGUUUGCUUGUCCCACAUGUAACUUUGAUACAGACUCUUGCUGGCUGAAGCAUAGUAAAAAAAUGGUGUUUCAUGGGUCAUCGCCAUUUUCUUGAAAGCGGCCAUCGUUUAGAUUGCAGCGUGUCCGUUUUAAUGGGAAAAUCGAGCAACGGGAGCCACCAAUAGCAUUAUCAGGGUCAGAUAUAUUGAAACAAAUGGAGGUAAUCAAUGCUAGUUUUGGGAAAGUACCUGAGUCGAAUGCUAAAGGUAAAGAACUCGAGGAAAAACUAUUGCUGAAGAUAGACCGAAAUAGUGGAGAAAGAGAAGCAUAUUUUUUGAUCUUCCUUAAUGGGAAUCUAACUUGUUGCGUCAUAAUCUAGACCUUAUGCACAUUGAGAAGAAUGUGUGUGGGAGUGUGAUAUAUACUUUGCUCAAUGAUACUGAAAAGUCAAAAGACAAUCUUAAAGCUCGGAAUGAUCUUAGAGAAAUGGGUAUAAGGAAAGAACUUUGGGCAGAUGAGAAUGGAAGCUAUCGUCCAGCCUUGUUCACUCUUUUAAAUUCAAAGAAAAGUGGAUUUAAGAAAGACAUAUUUUUGCGGACUUUAAAAAAUGUCAAAAUGGCAGAUGGAUACGCUAGCAACAUUUCAAGAUGUGUCGACUUGAAACAACAAAAGCUCAAGUCAAUGAAGAGUCAUGAUUUUCACAUUCUCAUGCAACACUUGUUACCAAUUUCCAUACGUAAUGUUUUACCAGACAAGGUGACUGCAGUAUUAACAGAGUUGAGUUUGUUCUUCCAUCAACUCUGUGCCAAAAGCUUAAGUCCCUUAGACCUUGACAGGCUCCAGUCUCGGUAUUUUAUCACCAUGAAUCACCUGGAAAUGUUAUUCCCUCCUACAUUCUUUACAAUCAUGGUUCAUUUAACUUGUCAUCUAGCUAGUGAAACAAAACUUGGGGGACCUCAACAGUGUCGGUGGAUGUAUCUUAUCGAGAGGUAUUUGGGACACUUCAAAUCCUAUGUGCGAAACAUGUCACAACCAGAAGACUCUAUAACUGAAGGAUAUCUAGCUGAAGAGGAUCUUACUUUUUGAUCCCAGUAUAUUGAAGGGAUUGAGACAAGAUUUAAUAGGCCACGUCGUGUUGACGAUUUUCUGAUGGAUCGAGCCUCGGCGAAUUCAUCUAGUAUUUUCCCACCAGUUGGUAAAGGACUAGGAGCUGUAACAUUUGAGUUGUCACCUAUGGAAAAACGUCAAGCACAUCGAUAUGUGUUACUAAAUUGUCCACAAAUCAUUUCAUUACUGAAUUUAAAGCUUAUGUGCGGAGGCGGUGGAAGGGUCGAAAGCCUUCAAACACGGAGAUAGAGAAGAUAGUUAGUAAAGACUUUAUUGAUUAGUUUCUUCGAAAGAUUGUUAUUCCAGACAUUUCAAAUACUGUGUCUGAUGAACUAAAGUUUUUAGCAGAUAGUCCAGCACCAUAUGCUAGAAGGUUUACAUCAUUUAAUAUCAAUGGGUUCAAAUUUCGGACAACAACUCGAGAGCAUGGGUUGAAAACGCAAAACAGUGGUUUUUUUUUUUUUACUUCGACCACAUCUUGUAUUGCUAGUGGUGCUGUUGGAAACCUGAGGCAAGCAGAUUUGCCAUAUUAUAGCAAAUUAGAAGACAUCAUUGAGCUUAACUACUAUCGAUUUAGGGUUACACUAUUCAAGUGUAAAUGGGCUGACACAACUAGGGAUAGAGGGUUUAGAAAGGAUGCAUGGGAAUUUUCUUCGGUUAAUUUUUCACAAUUGAUUCACAUUGGUGAUCGUGAAGAGCAUUCACCAUAUAUUGAAGCUUCACAAGCUUAAAUGGUAUAUUAUAUGGAUGAUGAGGUGAAUAAAGGAUGGAGUACUGUUGUUCACUUGAAACCAAGAAACUUGUAUGAAAUGGGAGAAGGAGAGAAUGAAGUUCCUGAGAAUGAGCCAUUUCCAGUGCAAGACUUAGAUCAAUUCUUUGAUGGUGUGAAUGAUCUAAUUUUGAGUCGGGAGGAUGAAAUUGAUGAAGUAUUAGGUGAAUGCAAUAUUGAAAAUGAGAUUGGGGAAGAUGAACAUAUUUGAAGAGCCACUGCCAACCCAUUUUUAGUCUAAGAAACCAAAUUGUAUCUAUGCUUAUAGUUGAUCAACAAUAUUGAAAAUUUCUUGUUUUUUUGCUUUGGCACUAUAAAUUGUUGACUUGUUCAGCUAUUAUGAAUUGAUAGAGUUGUAUCUGUUGUUACUUUUAUUGGUCAGCUAUUGUGUAUCAGCACUUGUUAUUAUUGUUGCAUCUAUUUGACAUUAUUUUAUAAGCUACAACCAUUGAGGUUCUUUUGUAUUAGAGGGAAAGAAGCAAUCUUGGUCAUAUAUAGAAACAGAGAGGUGAAAUCAUUUUGCUCAUAUUUGGAAAAUCAUAUCUAAUGCUUUUUUUCCCAUUUUGUAGGUGGUGUCACUGUAGAUCUGUUGCUUCACUUGUCUCUUUUUCAAAGGAGCCGAGAAUAUCUAGUUCUUGUACAAGAAGAAUCUGCUGUAUACUUAAUGUUAUUACUUCAUGAUAUCAAAUCUAAAGUAGGAGUUGGUGUGAUUCCUAAUGAGCUUGGAAAUUGCAAAGCUCUUACAGUUAUUGAUUUAUCUGAGAAUCUUUUAACAGGUAGCAUUCCUACUAGUUUGGGUGGCAUUUUAGGUCUUGAGGAGUUGCAGUUGAGUGUCAAUCAGUUAUCAUGUAUUAUACCUCCUGAAAUAUCUAAUUGUACUUCUCUCUCUCAUUUGGAAGUUGACAACAAUACUUAAGUCCAAGUGUUGGUUCUUUAGCUGAAUUAACAAAACAAAGUAGUAGUAGUUGUACAUGGGGACAGAAACAUGCGUUUGGCUACUGGCUGCCUGCAAUUAAUAAAUUGGACGGUUUCUCACUUUA